Molecule: long non-coding RNA, 212 nt
Filed under: Homo sapiens (human)
Lineage: Eukaryota; Metazoa; Chordata; Mammalia; Primates; Hominidae
Description: HSALNT0218561
Source: RNAcentral
AUGUUGAUUGUGGCGAAAUAAUCAAAUGUAUCUACAUAGCAUGCCUCCCCUGGACAUGUUUACUCUGGGUGAAGAAAAGUUUCAAACAUCAGGAAAAAAAAACAGCGCAUUGCAAAACAUAUUAGACUGAACCUAUCGAUGACAAAAUGCAACUGUGAAAUGUUGAGACUGUUCAUCAAAGCUGGACAUAAGCAGGAUCCAUUCCAUUUUCA